GCAAGUCGUGGGGUAUAUACUUCGGUAUAGAGACCGGCGCACGGGUGAGUAACACGUAAGAAUCUACCUACAGGUGGGGGAUAGCCUAUGGAAACAUAGGGUAAUACCGCAUGUGACGAGAGUUAAAAGCUACUUUUGUAGCGCCAGUAGAUGAGCUUGCGGUCCAUUAGCUAGUUGGCGGGGUAAAUGCCCACCAAGGCUACGAUGGAUAGCCGGCCUGAGAGGGUGAUC
Molecule: ribosomal RNA, 231 nt
Filed under: uncultured bacterium
Lineage: Bacteria
Description: partial 16S ribosomal RNA
Rfam family: Bacterial small subunit ribosomal RNA
Source: RNAcentral